UUGGCCGUUUUUUUUUUUUUUUUUUUUGGAUGUACUCCAAGGCUUGUAAUGCAGGUCUUCUUUGAUAAUGGCCCACAGUAUGUGUAAGAGCACUGGGCUGCAGCCAAGGUACACAAGCCUGGUGGUAAUAGUUAACCGGGUGGACAAACAGUGGAAGUCAGCGGCGUGGAGGUAGGUCAGAGAACUGCAGCAGACAGAUGUGCUGUUACACCCCCGACGCACGCACACACACACACACACACAACCUUACGCCCCCUUAUCCUCACUUCCCCCCAUGUUCUCCAUCACAGCCUGAUCCUCCCGCCUUAUCUCUCUCUGUUAGGACCGACAUUGCACUUGAAGACUCGGCCCUUCGCUUAGCUUUCAGAUUUGGACUGCAGCUUUCUGAACACGCUGCUGACUCAUGUGGGACACAGAGAAAAAGAUGGCCACCACUAACUUAUCUUUAUAUCCCCUUGUAGAGGUGGAAAUAGUCAUUUUUUUAACAGCUUUUAAAAAUGAGAUUACAUUAAUGUCUCAAUUUGCGUGCUGCAGAAUUUACAUUUCAAGUUUCCGCUGCAGCAGAGGCAGAUGUAGACGUCGCUUUGCUCCACACAAAACAAACAACAAAAGAAGAACCUUCUUUUUUUUCCUCAAUCUCUCAACACGGGCAAAAAAAAGACAUGGCUGGUGCUUUUUAUGUCAUCUGUGUUUCCAAGACAAUUAGUGGCUUACCAAAUCACAUCUCAUUUGACAUAGAUUAGCAGUGUUACACUGGCAGGCUCUGCGUUUAUCUGUCUGCUGGUGAUUUGUCAUGGUCAGGGUUCCCCCGCCCCAACAGAAGACAAGUCGGCGGAGGUUCGAUGUUUCUGUGCGAAGGUGCAUGCCUUGCUUUCGGCCCGACGCCUCAGACGGUCCAAGGACUCGGAGAGCGGCAGACGUGUCAUUACGCCGAUCCUCUGCCGACCUGUUGCUAAUCUCAGAGCGAAGCAGACCAAACACCAAACCGCACACGGCUCUGCUUUGGUCCUCAGAUCUGGCUUUCGGGAGGAGGGGAGGGGGGACGCUGUAUAGCGUGAAUGCAGCGCUAGCCUCAACCUAAGGCCCAGAACAAAGAGUGACACCAUGCUCCGUUCUGCUCCCGCUCUGCAAUCAACGGGGGUUGAAAUAGCAGCCUUUGAAGGGAACGAGGCCCGACUGCUGGAGCCGUCUCAAAGUAGAAAACGAGCCAUUCUGACGCUAAAAAAGCCUCCUCUGUCAGCCGUCAAGGUGCCACAGUCUUCCUCAUCACCGCUCUUAUCAGUGCCAACAAAAACGGAUCCCGUUCCUGGACUGGCAGCCAACAGCACGUGAAUUAGCAUUGCGUCUAGAAAAAAAA
Poecilia latipinna (sailfin molly) is the source of this 1357-nucleotide long non-coding RNA. RefSeq lists it as uncharacterized. NCBI's taxonomy places the organism in Eukaryota, Metazoa, Chordata, Actinopteri, Cyprinodontiformes, Poeciliidae. The record is from RefSeq and is a predicted model, not a curated record. The transcript is spliced from 2 exons.